Molecule: ribosomal RNA, 254 nt
Filed under: uncultured bacterium
Lineage: Bacteria
Description: partial 16S ribosomal RNA
Rfam family: Bacterial small subunit ribosomal RNA
Source: RNAcentral
UACAUGUGGGGCGAGCGUUGUUCGGAAUUACUGGGCAUAAAGGGUGCGUAGGCGGCAUGAUACGCCUUGGGUGAAAUCCUGCGGCCCAACCGCGGGUCUGCCUGAGAUACGGUCAAGCUGGAGUGCGUGAGGGGUGACUGGAACGCGUGGUGUAGCGGUGAAAUGCGUAGAUAUCACGCGGAAGGCCAACGGCGAAGGCAGGUCACUGGCACGCAACUGACGCUGAGUGCACGAAAGCGUGGGGAGCAAACAGG